Onychostruthus taczanowskii (white-rumped snowfinch) is the source of this 528-nucleotide long non-coding RNA. RefSeq lists it as uncharacterized. NCBI's taxonomy places the organism in Eukaryota, Metazoa, Chordata, Aves, Passeriformes, Passeridae. The record is from RefSeq and is a predicted model, not a curated record. The transcript has 2 exons.
GGUGCCGGUGUGAGGGGGGAGUGGGUUUGGGGUGCCGGUAACCCCGCUGAGCUCUGUACUGCCUCCAGAAUGUGCUUCGUGCCGCUGAAUCUAAAGGCAGUCUAAGCAAUCUUUAUUCUUUCCAUGCAUUGCCAAAAGCAGAAGUUAGUUUGAAAGACGACAUGAUGAGCAGCUCUGGUCAGGUGUUUGAAUGACUCAUCUGCAGAGGAGUUGAGGGUAAUGGAGGUGGGACAUGGGCUGUUCUCAUUUUGGAUCACUGUUUUUGGAACCUGCACUGGGAGUGGAGGAAGGUCUGUGGAACACAAAGUCUGCCACAAGACAAAUGGGGAGGGAGGCCCAAGGUCAGGUUUAAACUUGACUUGGUGUGCAGUAUUCUGCUUCCCUGCUGGAAAAUCAGUAGGCAUCUGUGAAGGGGAAAACGACAGAUGCUUGGAUUGCUAACAAAAAAAUGAUCACUAAAUAUACAUAAGAUGCAUAAAGCAACAUUACUGUGGUAAAACUUGGUAAAUAAAGAACAUAAGGUUAUCA